AAGACUAUAGACCUGCGGAGUACCUGCGGAAGGAUCAUUAGUGAACGCCCUCACGGGCUUAUAACUAUUCCAAACCUCUGUGAACCGUGCCCUUCGGGGCUAUUUUACAAACAUGGUGUAAUGAACGUCAUAUAUCAUAACAAAACAAAACUUUCAGCAACGGAUCUCU
RNAcentral lists this unclassified non-coding RNA (169 nucleotides) under soil metagenome. RNAcentral describes it as "partial contains 5.8S ribosomal RNA, internal transcribed spacer 2, and large subunit ribosomal RNA". The record is from RNAcentral.